UCGAGCGAGAAAACCGGGGCAACUCGGUGAGUACAGCGGCGGAAGGGUGCGUAAUACAUGGAUAACGUACCCCCCAGUUCGGGAUAACCCUCCGAAAGGUGGGCUAAUACCGGGUAAUGGCAGCGGGUGGCAUCAUUUGCUGCUUAAAGACGCAAGUCGCUGGGGGAGCGGUCCAUGGCCUAUCAGCUAGUUGGCGGGGUAACGGCCCACCAAGGCAAUGACGGGUAGCCGGACUGAGAGGUUGAACGGCCACACGGGAACUGAGACACGGUCCCGACAUCUACGGAUGGCAGCAGUAGGGAAUCUUGCGCAAUGGGCGAAAGCCUGACGCAGCGACACCGCGUGGGGGAUGAAGGCCUUCGGGUUGUAAACCCCUUUCAUGAGGGAAGAACACUGACCUAACCUCAGGAAGAAGCACCGGCUAACUCCGUGCCAGCAGCUGCGGUAAUACGGAGAGUGCAAACGUUG
RNAcentral lists this ribosomal RNA (468 nucleotides) under uncultured bacterium. RNAcentral's name for it is "bacterial SSU rRNA". It matches the Rfam family "Bacterial small subunit ribosomal RNA", at positions 62 to 543 of the family's 1533-position model. The record is from RNAcentral.